This is a long non-coding RNA of Panicum virgatum (switchgrass), 615 nucleotides long. RefSeq lists it as uncharacterized. Lineage: Eukaryota; Viridiplantae; Streptophyta; Magnoliopsida; Poales; Poaceae. The record is from RefSeq and is a predicted model, not a curated record. The transcript has 2 exons.
UUUGUGGCACAUGAUUUGUAGCAAAUUGUUACAGAAAUAUAUUCCUUUAUUCGUGUUAACAUAUAGAACUCUAGCUAUAAAUAUGGUUGUAAUGGUGUAUAACACAAUUCAUACCUGGCUUCCACACAGAAAGAGUGUUUACAAAGUGUAAUCAUGAUCAUCAAAUCUGCAAAACCUGUUGCACUUUCCAUCCUGGUGAUCCUCUUAGUAGGUAUCGUAGUUGAUGGUGUCCAAGGAAAUGCUGAUACCGAAUUUACUCUUCGAGGGAUCAAAAUAAAUAAUCCUACAACGUUUGGUGAUAGCAUCCCCAACUCUGGUGACAAGGAAGAACACAAACAGUUAACCACUGCCCUUGGAGCUACUACGACGUACACAGACCACCAUAUACUAUCUCGUGAAGAGUACUGCAAGAUCUUCAAAUGCCCUUAGUAAAACUGGGUAUAUGUAUGGGUGUCCUGGAGUAACUGCAGCUUUCAGGCCUAAUGUUAAGGCCAAGUAAUAGAAUAAAGCUCCAGGACUUAAUUGGAAAUAUGAAAAUAUGUACACUGAACCCUUGCACGUCAAGGGAAGACUAGUUAUAAAAUGGAGAUAUGUUAACUCUCAUGUUAUGUGCUA